RNAcentral lists this ribosomal RNA (682 nucleotides) under Reticulitermes speratus. RNAcentral describes it as "partial 16S ribosomal RNA". The stretch from base 342 to 504 matches the Rfam family "Archaeal large subunit ribosomal RNA", at positions 1883 to 2090 of the family's 2987-position model. Lineage: Eukaryota; Metazoa; Arthropoda; Insecta; Blattodea; Rhinotermitidae. The record is from RNAcentral.
UUAGGGGUUUCUGGUUUUUCAAGAAAUGAAUUUAAUUCAUGCGUCUUAUUUAGAGUUUUAUUAUUUGUUUAUUUAUUUUUAUUUGGCGUUAAGAUUGGGGGGGAUUAGCUUCUUAUUUUAUUUUUAUAAUUUUUUGUUUAUUUAGUCUUGUGGGUUUUAUAGUGAUUUUCAAUUUGAUUAUGUUAAAAUUUUAUUUGUUUUGUUCUUUAUUUUUAUUUAUUUAAUUAUUUAUUGAAAUGUAUUCUUUAUUUUGUUUUGGUUAGUAAUUAUUGUAGAAUUAGUAAAUUUGUUGUUAGGUUGUUUUAUUUGUGUUAAUUUUCUUUGAGGAACUAGGCAAAUUUCAUGCCCGCCUGUUUAACAAAAACAUCUUUUCUCGUUAGUUUUUGAAGUAUGGCCUGCCCACUGACUUUGGUGUUGAAGGGCCGCGGUAUUUUGACCGUGCAAAGGUAGCAUAGUCAUUAGUUCUUUAAUUGUGAUCUGGUAUGAAUGGCUUGACGAGGCAUGGGCUGUCUUAAUUUUGAAUUGUUUAUUGAAUUUGGUCUUUGAGUUAAAAUUCUUAGAUGUUUUUAUGGGACGAGAAGACCCUAUAGAGUUUAACAUUUGUUAUGGUCCCUUUCUGUUUGUGAGGGUUCACUGGGCCGUCUAAUAUGUUUUGUUGGGGUGAUGGGAGGGAUUAAUUUAA